UGGGGAAUUUUGGACAAUGGGGGCAACCCUGAUCCAGCCAUUCCGCGUGAGUGAAGAAGGCCUUCGGGUUGUAAAGCUCUUUCGGCAGGAACGAAACGGCGAGCUCUAACAUAGCUUGCUAAUGACGGUACCUGAAGAAGAAGCACCGGCUAACUACGUGCCAGCAGCCGCGGUAAUACGUAGGGUGCGAGCGUUAAUCGGAAUUACUGGGCGUAAAGCGUGCGCAGGCGGUUGUGUAAGACAGAUGUGAAAUCCCCGGGCUCAACCUGGGACCUGCAUUUGUGACUGCAUCGCUAGAGUACGGCAGAGGGGGAUGGAAUUCCGCGUGUAGCAGUGAAAUGCGUAGAUAUGCGGAGGAACACCGAUGGCGAAGGCAAUCCCCUGGACCUGUACUGACGCUCAUGCACGAAAGCGUGGGGAGCAAACA
Molecule: ribosomal RNA, 427 nt
Filed under: uncultured bacterium
Lineage: Bacteria
Description: bacterial SSU rRNA
Rfam family: Bacterial small subunit ribosomal RNA
Source: RNAcentral